CGGUGGAUCACUCGGCUCGU
This 20-nucleotide non-coding RNA is filed under the name Xenopus tropicalis (tropical clawed frog). Lineage: Eukaryota; Metazoa; Chordata; Amphibia; Anura; Pipidae. The record is from RNAcentral. RNAcentral also lists the same sequence under 2 other names.